RNAcentral lists this ribosomal RNA (1553 nucleotides) under Staphylococcus aureus. RNAcentral describes it as "bacterial SSU rRNA". It matches the Rfam family "Bacterial small subunit ribosomal RNA". Lineage: Bacteria; Bacillati; Bacillota; Bacilli; Caryophanales; Staphylococcaceae. The record is from RNAcentral.
UUUAUGGAGAGUUUGAUCCUGGCUCAGGAUGAACGCUGGCGGCGUGCCUAAUACAUGCAAGUCGAGCGAACGGACGAGAAGCUUGCUUCUCUGAUGUUAGCGGCGGACGGGUGAGUAACACGUGGAUAACCUACCUAUAAGACUGGGAUAACUUCGGGAAACCGGAGCUAAUACCGGAUAAUAUUUUGAACCGCAUGGUUCAAAAGUGAAAGACGGUCUUGCUGUCACUUAUAGAUGGAUCCGCGCUGCAUUAGCUAGUUGGUAAGGUAACGGCUUACCAAGGCAACGAUGCAUAGCCGACCUGAGAGGGUGAUCGGCCACACUGGAACUGAGACACGGUCCAGACUCCUACGGGAGGCAGCAGUAGGGAAUCUUCCGCAAUGGGCGAAAGCCUGACGGAGCAACGCCGCGUGAGUGAUGAAGGUCUUCGGAUCGUAAAACUCUGUUAUUAGGGAAGAACAUAUGUGUAAGUAACUGUGCACAUCUUGACGGUACCUAAUCAGAAAGCCACGGCUAACUACGUGCCAGCAGCCGCGGUAAUACGUAGGUGGCAAGCGUUAUCCGGAAUUAUUGGGCGUAAAGCGCGCGUAGGCGGUUUUUUAAGUCUGAUGUGAAAGCCCACGGCUCAACCGUGGAGGGUCAUUGGAAACUGGAAAACUUGAGUGCAGAAGAGGAAAGUGGAAUUCCAUGUGUAGCGGUGAAAUGCGCAGAGAUAUGGAGGAACACCAGUGGCGAAGGCGACUUUCUGGUCUGUAACUGACGCUGAUGUGCGAAAGCGUGGGGAUCAAACAGGAUUAGAUACCCUGGUAGUCCACGCCGUAAACGAUGAGUGCUAAGUGUUAGGGGGUUUCCGCCCUUAGUGCUGCAGCUAACGCAUUAAGCACUCCGCCUGGGGAGUACGACCGCAAGGUUGAAACUCAAAGGAAUUGACGGGGACCCGCACAAGCGGUGGAGCAUGUGGUUUAAUUCGAAGCAACGCGAAGAACCUUACCAAAUCUUGACAUCCUUUGACAACUCUAGAGAUAGAGCUUUCCCCUUCGGGGGACAAAGUGACAGGUGGUGCAUGGUUGUCGUCAGCUCGUGUCGUGAGAUGUUGGGUUAAGUCCCGCAACGAGCGCAACCCUUAAGCUUAGUUGCCAUCAUUAAGUUGGGCACUCUAAGUUGACUGCCGGUGACAAACCGGAGGAAGGUGGGGAUGACGUCAAAUCAUCAUGCCCCUUAUGAUUUGGGCUACACACGUGCUACAAUGGACAAUACAAAGGGCAGCGAAACCGUGAGGUCAAGCAAAUCCCAUAAAGUUGUUCUCAGUUCGGAUUGUAGUCUGCAACUCGACUACAUGAAGCUGGAAUCGCUAGUAAUCGUAGAUCAGCAUGCUACGGUGAAUACGUUCCCGGGUCUUGUACACACCGCCCGUCACACCACGAGAGUUUGUAACACCCGAAGCCGGUGGAGUAACCUUUUAGGAGCUAGCCGUCGAAGGUGGGACAAAUGAUUGGGGUGAAGUCGUAACAAGGUAGCCGUAUCGGAAGGUGCGGCUGGAUCACCUCCUUUCU